ACGGAGCAACGCCGCGUGAAGCGAAGAAGGCCUUUCGGUUGUAAAAGUUCAUUCAUCGGGGAGAAGGGGAAGGGGAGUGGAAAGCUCCUUGCGAGACGGUACCGAGUGAGGAAGCCCCGGCUAACUACGUGCCAGCAGCCGCGGUAAUACGUAGGGGGCAAGCGUUGUCCGGAAUCACUGGGCGUAAAGGGUGCGUAGGCGGUUGGUAAGUCUGGAGUGAAAGUCCAAGGCUCAACCUUGGGAAUUCUUUGGAAACUGCAUGACUUGAGUGCUGGAGAGGCAAGGGGAAUUCCACGUGUAGCGGUGAAAUGCGUAGAUAUCGGAGGAAUACUCAGUGGCGAAGGCGCCUUCUGGACCACACUGACG
Molecule: ribosomal RNA, 366 nt
Filed under: uncultured bacterium
Lineage: Bacteria
Description: bacterial SSU rRNA
Rfam family: Bacterial small subunit ribosomal RNA
Source: RNAcentral